GUGCUUUUUAAACCGUAAUCCUAACUUAACUCCAAAUGAGCAACAAGAAGAUGGAUGGAAGAAAAUUAAACUCACACUCGAGAUAGCUAAAUUGCCUGUCUAUCGCAAAUGGAUUUGUACCUUGUUGGGUGUCUGAAUAAAUUGCUAUUUAUGCCAAAAGAGGCACAACAAAAUCGUUCAAAUAGUCAGUAGUUGGUCAGCUGGCAAAUACCCCAAAAUGACAAACAAAGCAAUCCCCGAAAUUCCAUUUGACGCUGAAAAACAUUUACAAACAUUGUGGUCGCCAGCAGGAGCAGCUAAAAUUCAGUGGAUGCUUUAUGAUAAACUCAUGUGGCUGGCGUUCCAUGGCCAUGGACACAGUGGUUCCACUUGCUAAGUAGCCACCGCUUCUGUCGGCGACACCGGAACGCGUGUAUUGCGCCGCCUUUGCUGGCGAAUCAAUCAAUUCCGCUGGUGCACGUGACAUGGAACCCCGAGUGCCGGCCGAGACCGCCGAGACCGCCGGAAUCCGGGGGUCAAGGAACGGACCUCAGCCGAGCGGAGCAACGCCACGGCGUGGCGAUCAGAAGCAGCGAGUUUGUUGCUGGCUUCCGACUCACACCACACAUCACACACCACACACCGCACCAUGCGCAAUUCGCCGCUCCGAUUGCGUCACUUUCGUCGCUUUCCGCGUUCCGCUGGCCAAGCGGUUUAUUUUAAAACUAAUUAUAAGGCAGCCCAAAUAUAAUGCACAGUCGCUUUGGAUUACAUGAAUGAAUGAAAUCCAGCACUGAUAAGCCGCUCGAUGGAUAGACGGACUGGACUGGAGGUCUGGGGCUGGCUUUAUCGCAGUAGCCCAUAGUCAGCAUAAUGCAACUGAGUUGUUUGGAUGAGCUCUGCUGGAAUUCAGACUGCUAAAGAUCUUAUGCUUAUCCUAUACAUUUAGCUGACUCGGAAAUAGACGAUAAAAUAAUGUGAAACAUACCAAA
Drosophila yakuba is the source of this 971-nucleotide long non-coding RNA. RefSeq lists it as uncharacterized. The transcript has 3 exons. Lineage: Eukaryota; Metazoa; Arthropoda; Insecta; Diptera; Drosophilidae. The record is from RefSeq and is a predicted model, not a curated record.